GACGAACCGUGCGAACGUUAUUCGGAAUCACUGGGCUUAAAGCGCGUGUAGGCGGGGCGGCACGUCGGUCGCUGAAAGCCCCCGGCUCAACCGGGGAACGGGCGCCGAUACGACCGCCCUGGAGGGACGUAGGGGGGCCUGGAACUUCCGGUGGAGCGGUGAAAUGCGUUGAGAUCGGAAGGAACGCCCGUGGCGAAAGCGAGGCCCUGGACGUCUGCUGACGCUGAGACGCGAAAGCCAGGGGAGCGAACGGG
This 254-nucleotide ribosomal RNA is filed under the name uncultured bacterium. RNAcentral describes it as "partial 16S ribosomal RNA". It matches the Rfam family "Bacterial small subunit ribosomal RNA", at positions 524 to 776 of the family's 1533-position model. The record is from RNAcentral.